CACUAUGAAAUAAACGCGUAAAAAAAUUCAUCACCACUGUACAUGUAGGGGAGGUUUCCACUUCAAUUCCUUUUUGUUAUUUUUUCCAGCAAAUAAGCAAGGAUGUUAUAUUUCGGAUCUUAAAGAUGUAAUACCGUUCGGCGAAGGAGAACCCUCGAAAACCGCCUGCCAGCGAUAUAACUGCAGAGAGGACUUUGUGCAAAUAGUAGGUUGCGGCGUAGCGGCAGCAGUGCCUCCAUGCUACGUGACACAGGACCUGUCUCUGGUGCACCCAGCCUGCUGCCCCACCAUCAAGUGCCCUAAAGAGGAAGAAGUAGAAGAGUGUGACGAAGAAGUCUGAACUUGAUAAGUUCUUUAGUAUCUUACUUCUAUCACAGCUUCUAUUUAGACCUGUCUUAAGUAAAUGAAAUAAAUAUUA
Bicyclus anynana (squinting bush brown) is the source of this 418-nucleotide long non-coding RNA. RefSeq lists it as uncharacterized. Lineage: Eukaryota; Metazoa; Arthropoda; Insecta; Lepidoptera; Nymphalidae. The record is from RefSeq and is a predicted model, not a curated record. The transcript is spliced from 2 exons.